GUGUCAGCCGCCGCGGUAAUACGUAGGGUGCAAGCGUUGUUCGGAAUCAUUGGGCGUAAAGCGCGUGUAGGCGGUCAAGUAAGUCUUGUGUGAAAUCCCUGGGCUCAACCGAGGAAGUGCAUGGGAAACUACUUGGCUUGCAGACGGUAGAGGAAGGUGGAAUUCCAAGUGUAGAGGUGAAAUUCGUAGAUAUUUGGAGGAAUACCGGUGGCGAAGGCGGCCUUCUGGACCGAUCUGGACGCUGAGACGCGAAAGCGUGGGGAGCAAACAGGAUUAGAAACCCCAGUAGUCC
This 292-nucleotide ribosomal RNA is filed under the name uncultured bacterium. RNAcentral's name for it is "partial 16S ribosomal RNA". It matches the Rfam family "Bacterial small subunit ribosomal RNA", at positions 505 to 796 of the family's 1533-position model. The record is from RNAcentral.